CGGAGUUAAAGUACAUGUAGACUAUGAAUCGGCUUACGUGAUAGCCUCUGUCUUAAAGGAUUUUCUACGGCACAUUCCAGGAAGCUUAUUAUCAUCAGAUCUCUAUAAUAAUUGGGUCUGUGUAAUGGACAAAGGAAAUGAUGAGGA
Vicugna pacos (alpaca) is the source of this 147-nucleotide non-coding RNA. NCBI's taxonomy places the organism in Eukaryota, Metazoa, Chordata, Mammalia, Artiodactyla, Camelidae. The record is from RefSeq and is a predicted model, not a curated record.